AGACAUUUGACCUUCUUAUGAAAGCAGUUGUCUCUUUGGGAAACUAUGAGAAUGAAUUUACAUUUACAAAGUUUUCUAGUCCCUUUAAGGAAAUAAGUGAAAUUACUCAAGAAGGGAAUAAACGGUAUUCAGACACACAUUGACAGCAAUGGCUUCCUGUGAUGGAAACGAGAAGGCUGCCUCCAGUUCAGCGCUUCCAGAAGUCUGCAAGCUGGGAAGAGAUCUUCCAGAGCUGGCGGCUUGACUCUGCACUGACCAGCCACCACUUACGUGGGCUAUUCUUCAGCCUUCCCCCCGAUGGUGAGGAUAUAAGGACCAGACUUGGAGCUCAG
RNAcentral lists this long non-coding RNA (332 nucleotides) under Homo sapiens (human). RNAcentral describes it as "HSALNT0337322". Lineage: Eukaryota; Metazoa; Chordata; Mammalia; Primates; Hominidae. The record is from RNAcentral.